This 480-nucleotide ribosomal RNA is filed under the name uncultured bacterium. RNAcentral describes it as "bacterial SSU rRNA". It matches the Rfam family "Bacterial small subunit ribosomal RNA", at positions 155 to 611 of the family's 1533-position model. The record is from RNAcentral.
AAGCGGUGCUAAUACCGAAUGAUAUCUCAGGGACCUCGGUCUCUAAGAUCAAAGGUGGCCUCUACAUGUAAGCUACUGUUUGGAGAUGAGCCCGCGUACCAUUAGCUAGUUGGUAGGGUAAUGGCCUACCAAGGCUUCGAUGGUUAGCUGGUCUGAGAGGAUGAUCAGCCACACUGGAACUGACACACGGUCCAGACUCCUACGGGAGGCAGCAGUGAGGAAUUUUGCGCAAUGGGGGAAACCCUGACGCAGCAACGCCGCGUGAGUGAUGAAGGCUUUCGGGUCGUAAAGCUCUGUCAAGUGGGAAGAAUAUGCCCUGUGAUAAUACCAUGGGGCACUGACGGUACCACUGAAGGAAGCACCGGCUAACUCCGUGCCAGCAGCCGCGGUAAUACGGGGGGUGCAAGCGUUAUUCGGAAUCAUUGGGCGUAAAGGGCGCGUAGGCGGCCCCUUAAGUCAGAUGUGAAAGCCCUCAGCUUA